RNAcentral lists this ribosomal RNA (1945 nucleotides) under human gut metagenome. Its description in RNAcentral is "bacterial LSU rRNA". It matches the Rfam family "Bacterial large subunit ribosomal RNA", at positions 1 to 1977 of the family's 2925-position model. The record is from RNAcentral.
UUAAGCGACUAAGCGUACACGGUGGAUGCCCUGGCAGUCAGAGGCGAUGAAGGACGUGCUAAUCUGCGAAAAGCGUCGGUAAGGUGAUAUGAACCGUUAUAACCGGCGAUGUCCGAAUGGGGAAACCCAGUGUGAUUCGUCACACUAUCGUUAACUGAAUACAUAGGUUAACGAGGCGAACCGGGGGAACUGAAACAUCUAAGUACCCCGAGGAAAAGAAAUCAACCGAGAUUCCCCCAGUAGCGGCGAGCGAACGGGGAGCAGCCCAGAGUCUGAAUCAGCUUGUGUGUUAGUGGAACGGUCUGGAAAGUCCGACGGUACAGGGUGAUAGUCCCGUACACCAAAAUGCACAGGUUGUGAACUCGAAGAGUAGGGCGGGACACGUGGUAUCCUGUCUGAAUAUGGGGGGACCAUCCUCCAAGGCUAAAUACUCCUGACUGACCGAUAGUGAACCAGUACCGUGAGGGAAAGGCGAAAAGAACCCCGGCGAGGGGAGUGAAAAAGAACCUGAAACCGUGUACGUACAAGCAGUGGGAGCACCUUCGGGUGUGACUGCGUACCUUUUGUAUAAUGGGUCAGCGACUUAUAUUCUGUAGCAAGGUUAACCGUAUAGGGGAGCCGCAGGGAAACCGAGUCUUAACUGGGCGUUAAGUUGCAGGGUAUAGACCCGAAACCCGGUGAUCUAGCCAUGGGCAGGUUGAAGGUUGGGUAACACUAACUGGAGGACCGAACCGACUAAUGUUGAAAAAUUAGCGGAUGACUUGUGGCUGGGGGUGAAAGGCCAAUCAAACCGGGAGAUAGCUGGUUCUCCCCGAAAGCUAUUUAGGUAGCGCCUCGUGAACUCAUCUUCGGGGGUAGAGCACUGUUUCGGCUAGGGGGUCAUCCCGACUUACCAACCCGAUGCAAACUACGAAUACCGAAGAAUGUUAUCACGGGAGACACACGGCGGGUGCUAACGUCCGUCGUGAAGAGGGAAACAACCCAGACCGCCAGCUAAGGUCCCAAAGUCAUGGUUAAGUGGGAAACGAUGUGGGAAGGCACAGACAGCCAGGAUGUUGGCUUAGAAGCAGCCAUCAUUUAAAGAAAGCGUAAUAGCUCACUGGUCGAGUCGGCCUGCGCGGAAGAUGUAACGGGGCUAAACCAUGCACCGAAGCUGCGGCAGCGACACUAUGUGUUGUUGGGUAGGGGAGCGUUCUGUAAGCCUGCGAAGGUGACCUGUGAGGGUUGCUGGAGGUAUCAGAAGUGCGAAUGCUGACAUAAGUAACGAUAAAGCGGGUGAAAAGCCCGCUCGCCGGAAGACCAAGGGUUCCUGUCCAACGUUAAUCGGGGCAGGGUGAGUCGACCCCUAAGGCGAGGCCGAAAGGCGUAGUCGAUGGGAAACAGGUUAAUAUUCCUGUACUUGGUGUUACUGCGAAGGGGGGACGGAGAAGGCUAUGUUAGCCGGGCGACGGUUGUCCCGGUUUAAGCAUGUAGGCUGGUUGUCCAGGCAAAUCCGGAUAAUCAAGGCUGAGGUGUGAUGACGAGGCACUACGGUGCUGAAGUAACAAAUGCCCUGCUUCCAGGAAAAGCCUCUAAGCAUCAGGUAACAUCAAAUCGUACCCCAAACCGACACAGGUGGUCAGGUAGAGAAUACCAAGGCGCUUGAGAGAACUCGGGUGAAGGAACUAGGCAAAAUGGUGCCGUAACUUCGGGAGAAGGCACGCUGGUGUGUAGGUGAAGUCCCUGCGGAUGGAGCUGAGACCAGUCGAAGAUACCAGCUGGCUGCAACUGUUUAUUAAAAACACAGCACUGUGCAAACACGAAAGUGGACGUAUACGGUGUGACGCCUGCCCGGUGCCGGAAGGUUAAUUGAUGGGGUUAGCGCAAGCGAAGCUCUUGAUCGAAGCCCCGGUAAACGGCGGCCGUAACUAUAACGGUCCUAAGGUAGCGAAAUUCCUUGUCGGGU